AGAGUUUGAUCAUGGCUCAGGACGAACGCUGGCGGCGUGCCUAACACAUGCAAGUCGAGCGGGGAACGGAUGGUAGCUUGCUACUGUUUGUUUCUAGCGGCGGACGGGUGAGUAACGCGUGAGCAACCUGCCUUUAUCAGGGGGAUAACGCAUCGAAAGAUGUGCUAAUACCGCGUAAGACCACAGCUUCACAUGGAGCGGGGGUCAAAGGAGCAAUCCGGAUAAAGAUGGGCUCGCGUCCGAUUAGCUAGUUGGUGAGAUAACAGCCCACAAGGCGACGAUCGGUAGCCGACCUGAGAGGGUGAUCGGCCACAUUGGAACUGAGAGACGGUCCAGACUCACGGGAGCA
Molecule: ribosomal RNA, 349 nt
Filed under: uncultured bacterium
Lineage: Bacteria
Description: bacterial SSU rRNA
Rfam family: Bacterial small subunit ribosomal RNA
Source: RNAcentral